Molecule: ribosomal RNA, 118 nt
Organism: Oryza brachyantha (malo sina)
Lineage: Eukaryota; Viridiplantae; Streptophyta; Magnoliopsida; Poales; Poaceae
Source: RefSeq, a predicted model, not a curated record
GGAUGCGAUCAUACCAGCACUAAAACACCGAAUCCCAUCGAAACUCCGAUGUUAAGUGUGCUUGGGCGAGAGUAGUACUUGAUGGGUGACCUCCUGGGAAGUCCUCGUGUUGCAUCUU